GGCAGCGUGGCCUAAUUGAUAGGGCACUUGACGGGCAAUCAAGAGGUGCGUGGUUCAAAUCCCGCCGCUGUCU
Non-coding RNA from Ornithodoros turicata, 73 nucleotides. Lineage: Eukaryota; Metazoa; Arthropoda; Arachnida; Ixodida; Argasidae. The record is from the annotation of a RefSeq genome assembly.